GACGAACGCUGGCGGCGUGCUUAACACAUGCAAGUCGAACGGAAAGGCCCUGCUUUUGUGGGGUGCUCGAGUGGCGAACGGGUGAGUAACACGUGAGUAACCUGCCCUUGACUUUGGGAUAACUUCAGGAAACUGGGGCUAAUACCGGAUAGGAGCUCCUGCUGCAUGGUGGGGGUUGGAAAGUUUCGGCGGUUGGGGCUGGACUCGCGGCUUAUCAGCUUGUUGGUGGGGUAGUGGCUUACCAAGCCUUUGACGGGUAGCCGGCCUGAGAGGGUGACCGGGCACAUUGGGACUGAGAGACGGCGCAGACUCGUACGGGAGGCAGUAGGGGGGAACAUUGCACAAUGGGCGGAAGCCAGAUGCAGCAACGCUGCGUGCGGGAUGACGUCCUUUGGGUUGUAAACCGCUUUCGACUGUGACGAAGCGGGAGUGACGGUACUGGGUAAAGAAGCACCGGCUAACUACGUG
Molecule: ribosomal RNA, 468 nt
Filed under: uncultured bacterium
Lineage: Bacteria
Description: partial 16S ribosomal RNA
Rfam family: Bacterial small subunit ribosomal RNA
Source: RNAcentral